CCUACGGGAGGCAGCAGUGAGGAAUAUUGGUCAAUGGACGAGAGUCUGAACCAGCCAAGUAGCGUGAAGGAUGACUGCCCUAUGGGUUGUAAACUUCUUUUAUAUGGGAAUAAAAUGUUCCACGUGUGGGAUUUUGUAUGUACCAUAUGAAUAAGGAUCGGCUAACUCCGUGCCAGCAGCAGCGGUAAUACGGAGGAUCCGAGCGUUAUCCGGAUUUAUUGGGUUUAAAGGGAGCGUAGGUGGAUUGUUAAGUCAGUUGUGAAAGUUUGCGGCUCAACCGUAAAAUUGCAGUUGAAACUGGCAGUCUUGAGUACAGUAGAGGUGGGCGGAAUUCGUGGUGUAGCGGUGAAAUGCUUAGAUAUCACGAAGAACUCCGAUUGCGAAGGCAGUUCACUGGACUGCAACUGACACUGAGGCUCGAAAGUGUGGGUAUCAAACAGGAGUAGAUACCCCUGUAGUC
RNAcentral lists this ribosomal RNA (460 nucleotides) under uncultured bacterium. Its description in RNAcentral is "partial 16S ribosomal RNA". It matches the Rfam family "Bacterial small subunit ribosomal RNA", at positions 338 to 795 of the family's 1533-position model. The record is from RNAcentral.